RNAcentral lists this ribosomal RNA (376 nucleotides) under Punrunata pulchra. Its description in RNAcentral is "partial large subunit ribosomal RNA". The stretch from base 72 to 376 matches the Rfam family "Bacterial large subunit ribosomal RNA", at positions 2046 to 2633 of the family's 2925-position model. Lineage: Eukaryota; Metazoa; Arthropoda; Arachnida; Opiliones; Gonyleptidae. The record is from RNAcentral.
UUUCUUAAUUGGGGACUGGAAUGAAAGGUAGAAACAUAAGGGAAUGUUUUAUUUUAUAAAUUUGAAUUUUAAUUAAAAGUAAAAAUGCUUUUAUAGAGCCUUGGGACGAGAAGACCCUAGAAGCUUAGAAUUUUAAUAGAAAAAUUUUUGGUUGGGGCAACAGUUGAAGAGGUUAAUUUUUAAUAGAAAAAUAUUUAAACAUAAGUUACUCUAGGGAUAACAGCGUUAUUUAAUUAACAAGUUCUUAUUAAUAAUUAAGAUUGCGACCUCGAUGUUGAAUUAAACAAAAAUUUGGGUGAAGAAGCUUUAUAUUUUUAGUCUGUUCGACUAUUAAAAGUUUACAUGAUUUGAGUUCAAACCGGUUUAAGCCAGGUCG